Small nuclear RNA from Suncus etruscus (white-toothed pygmy shrew), 104 nucleotides. The record is from RefSeq and is a predicted model, not a curated record. Lineage: Eukaryota; Metazoa; Chordata; Mammalia; Eulipotyphla; Soricidae.
GUGCUUGCUUCGGCAGCAUAUAUACUAAAAUUGGAAUGAUACGUAGAUUAGUAUGGCCUCUGCACAAGGAUGACAGGCAAAUUCGUGAAGCGUUCCAUAUUUAA